GGCUUCUCCUCAGCAAGGGCCAGCCAUCUCUCUGACCUCAGCUCCUGCCUCCAUCCAGCCCCAACUCAUUCAUGUGGACCCUUAGCCCCUGGAGCUUCAGUGGAGGCAGAUGGGGGUCCAGCAAGAAUGCCAAAGCAGCCAUCUCAUGAUGUUUGACAACAUUCAUCUGAGCUGUUUCAUGUUUAACAUGUCUUCCAACUCUGUAAAAUUACAGAAUGGAAUAUGAAAGAUGGCAUUUUAUUCUAUGGCUGGUGAAAAGGAUGAAAAAAGACACCACUUGUUUUUUUUCAUUCAUGCAGCUGAUAUUGGUUGAGCACCUAUUAUGUUCUUAAGCACGAUGCUAGACGCAAGCGAUAUCAAGUUGGCUAAGACUCUCCAACAACCAUGCUUUGGGCUGAUAGAUGUGUGAACAAAUAACUACUGGUGGUGAUCGCUGUAAUGGAAGAAGGUGACACAGGUGCAGAGGAGGAAAUGGCUAACUGCCAGAGAAGCCAGAUAAGACCUCAAGGUAGAAGCAACCUCUGAACUGAAUCUUGGGUUUUUUUCUGUAAAGGACCAUACAGUAAAUAUCUGAAGCUUUGCAGGCCGUACAGUCUCUGCUGCAACUACUCAACUCUGCCACUGUAACACGAGGUCAGCCAUAGACAAUAGAUAAAUGAAUGGGUGCAACUGUGCACCAAAAUGACAUUAUUUAUGGACACAGAAAUUUAAAUUCUCUAUAACUUUCAUGAGUCAUGAAACGUCAUUUUUCUUCUGGUAUUUUUUCGGCCAUUAAAAAAUACAUUUUUCACCAACCUGAUGCUUAAAAAUGAAAAUACAAAAACUUUCUUGGCUCUUGGGCCACAGGAAACCAGGUAGAGGGACAGAUGUGAUCCACGGGCUGUGAUUUGCAGACCCCUGUCUUAAAGGCUGAAUUGGCAUACCCCUGGUGAAGAUGGAGGUAUGAGUUAGUAACGAGAGUAAAGGGGGGUCUCUGCAGUGUAAGGUCCUUAGCAAAGUCUCAGAAACACAUAAAGAUUGAGUCUAUUUGGGAAAUUGAGGUCGUUGUGAGAGUGAGGCCUGGGGUCCGGAUCGAAACUGGAAAAGUCAAUAGUCAACAGUUUUUAUAUGCCCACUGUUGAACACAUCAUUAUUUUAAAAUAUUACUACAUAAAAUUACAAUUAAAUAAAUUACAUUUAAAAGAAAACUGGCCGGGUUCAGUGGCUCACGCCAUAAUCCCAACACUUUGAGAGGCCAAGAUAGGCAGAUUGCUUGAGCCCAAGACCAGCCUGGGCAACAUAGCAAAACCUCGUCUUUACUAAAAUUACAAAAAUUAUCCAGGAGUGUUGGUGUGCCUGUAGUCCAAGCUACUUGGGAGGCUGAGCUGGGAGGAUGGCUUAAGCCCAGGAGAUGAAGGUUGCGGUGAGCUGUGAUCACGCCACUGCACUCUAGCCUGGAUGACAGAGAAGAACCUGUCUCAAAACAAGAAAACACACACACAAAAC
RNAcentral lists this long non-coding RNA (1485 nucleotides) under Homo sapiens (human). Its description in RNAcentral is "HSALNT0242882". The record is from RNAcentral. Lineage: Eukaryota; Metazoa; Chordata; Mammalia; Primates; Hominidae.